CGUAGUGCCCUCAGCUUGCCCGCCCUGGAAACUCCUUCGUUGGACACCUGGAAUGUAGUGGUGCGUGGGGGGGGGGGCAACAUGUGCAGUGUCCCAUGACAAAAUCGAUGCCAGCCUGCCAGGAACUGAAGCCACAGAAACGUUUCGAUGUGUCAUGAGGCUGCCGUGCCAGGCGCGUCUACCCGAGAGUGAACUCGCUUUGCGUUUUUGUUUUGGAGUACAAGAUGCACAUUGCAUUGUGGAGGAAGAGGAGUGAGAAAUAAAAGGCAGAAUUGUCAUUCUUUAGCUGACCUUUAUUGGCUGUGUAAUUUACUAUAUAUACAUUAUACAAGAACUCGCUUACAAAGAAUUAAGGGGUUCAAGAGUUUUGUGCAUGCCAUGAUGAGUGCAUUACUUAUAUAUGGAGGAAUACAUAGACUGGAAAAACUUUAUUAUCAUCUUAUGGAUUGAUCAGAGACUGAGUGAAAUGCAUGAAUUGGAAAGGUCCCAGGCCUAGACCUGCAACCUCAGGAUUCUUGCUGCCAUCUCACAACCCAUAUUCUGUGGCUCAUUGUCAUGACUUCAGGAGUUGCUAUUUGGACAUGACCAGAAAGACCCUUGCCCCUUUUAU
Pogona vitticeps (central bearded dragon) is the source of this 610-nucleotide non-coding RNA. Lineage: Eukaryota; Metazoa; Chordata; Lepidosauria; Squamata; Agamidae. The record is from RefSeq and is a predicted model, not a curated record.